AUGAAAUGUAGCUGCAUCAUCCUCUUCCUGAUGGCAGCAGCUACAGGUGUCCACUCACAGGUCCAGCUCCAGCAGUCUGUGGCUGAGCUGGUGAGGCCUGGGGCCUCCGUGAAGUUGUCCUGCAAGGCUUCUGGCUACACCUUCACCAGCUAUUAUAUUACCUGGGUGAAGCAGAGGCCUGGACAGGGCCUGGAGUGGAUUGGAUGGAUUUAUCCUGGAAGUGGUAGUACAGACUACAAUCAGAAGUUCCAGGGCAAGGCCACACUGACUGCAGACACAUCCUCCAGCACAGCCUACAUGGAGCUCAGCAGCCUGACCUCUGAGGACUCUGCCGACUAUUACUGUGCAAGACACACACAGUGUUGCAACCACAUCCUGAGUGUGUCAGAAACUCUGGAGGAGCAGGAAGCUGCCCUGGGAAUGAGAUGA
Peromyscus eremicus (cactus mouse) is the source of this 429-nucleotide non-coding RNA. Lineage: Eukaryota; Metazoa; Chordata; Mammalia; Rodentia; Cricetidae. The record is from the annotation of a RefSeq genome assembly.